AGCAGAGGAGGGGAGAAUAAAUGACUACAAACGAAAAGCAACGCAGUUACGUCUAAUUAAUUUCAAACCGAACCCAUCCUCGCAUGGAGAACUGUCUCACAAGAAAGAAAGCACAAAAUUAUUCUUCCCUUCUUUUUACCUACCGGAAUUUUAGCCAAGAACAAGAACAAAAAUCGAAAAUUGUUUACUUAUUCUCCUCCUGAUCGUCCCCAACCAGCCAAAAAACAACCGAAACCUAUAUAGCAUACGUAAAUAAGGGGCACACCAGUCUUCUACCUACUUCUACUACUACUCUCCUCGCAUAAUAAUAUGUAACAAUAGUCAAAAAGUGUACUAAAUUGUCCUCGAAAUGUCUCUUCUGAAAACGUCUCCCCCCGCACACACCUCGCCUCGAAUUGAUUUUAUUUUACUCCACCACUCAACCAACUCGAAACACACGUCCAGUCCAUCUCGAAAUUGGUAAAAUGAAACUUACUUAACGUACAUAGAGAUCAAAAAAGAAAUGAAAUGUAGUACUUGUCAUUAUUUGAAAUGUAAACUCUUAUCUUAUACAUAUAAUUUGCAUAAUCAUUACUAAAUUGUAACCUUAUCCUUACUUACUUAUCUUACGUAAUAGUACUUGUCAAAUUUUUGUUACGAGUAGUAAUCAAAAAGAAAUAGUGAGAAAAAAACUACAUAAAGUAAGAUGAAAAAAAACCACUCGCCAAUCUUAUCGGGCUCGAUCCUCCCCGAUAAUUAUGAUUAAACUUAUAAUUAUGCAUAUUUAAUUAUAACUACGACUCCAUUUUAUUAAGGAAUACGUUUUUCUUACCGUGAUCUGAUGAAACAAACUAGUUAUUGAAAUGUGUGAUGUUUUUUUAGGAUAAGGUUAACUUGAUAAGGACGUAUCAUUAAUUUUAAAUAAUUGCUUAUACAAUUCUUCUUAAGCUGGGUUUAUAUUUACUUCACUUCUUAUAUAGUAACUUGCGCCAAUGUUGUUGUACUUUAACUAUGGCGCAAGUUACCAAGUAUAAGCGCAGGUGAGAAUUGUGGUUAUUUUUUUAAAUUAGUUACUUACGCAGUAAUUUUUCUUGGAGGGUAUGCUUAUUUACCUUAUUUAAUUAAUAGACUUAUCUAAUUAAGUAAUAAUUUUACCUUGUAUGUCUUAUCAUCUGAAGGUAAAAAAUUGUUAUCAAGUAGUGUACCCAGUUUAUCGAGUAGGUGACGAUUCGUUAUCCAUCGUGGUAAUAAUAAUUGUUGAAUUGAUACGUGGUUACUUCCACCCGAAACACUGAUUCUGACCUAGGAAAUCGUUACCUACUUGGUUACAUACACUGCUCGGUAACAAUUUUAUUACCACGUUGUAUUUCUAUCCUUACUUACUUACAUAUUAUGUAACUUUUACUUUUACACCACAACUCUACGCAACUGUCUGCCUGCCAAACUCUCAGUCUGGCCAGGACUCGGCGUCGUAGUGUCGUCGUGGUGUUUGGGGAGUAAGACUUGUCGCAGUAUUUGUACAUUUCCGAACACGAGAGAGAGAUCACAUUAACUAAUGAAUAAGUAAGGAAAAAUUCGAGUAAAAAUAGGAACCAUUUUUAUACAAAAAUUCGCGAUAAUCGGCUUAAAAUUGCAUCAUUGUUGGCUUAUUAGCAAUUAAGUAAGUAAUUUUUAGCAAGUAAUUUACAUACAGAAGAGCAAAAUUAUAUAGGAUGAAAUGCCAACAGAGAUUUAUGUACAUCGUGAAAGUGAAAGUGAAAAGGGUUAAAGUAUUGAAAAAUUAAUGUGCAAAAAAUUCGCGAAUUUUUCAUACGUGCAAAAUUUCUAGGACUUUUUGGACAGUUAAUUCUGACAAGUGCAGACUUCUUUUUUGUAGAAAAAUUUGCCAAUUUUUGGCACAUCGAUGUCCGAUACGGUUUACGUAGUUUUUGCUUACAAGUGCAGACUCUUGGAGGUCUAUUUUGCAGAAAAAUGUGCCAAUUUUUGGCACAUUAAUUAUUUUCAAUGUGUAGUUUUUUGCUUUCCGUUUCUCCAUGAGUGAGCUUUUUGUGUUAAAUGUUACUGCUAAAAAUUACUAAAUAGUUAACUAAAUGUACUGACUACAUUCCAUGUUGCUGUUGUUCUUCUUAGCAAAGUAGUUAAUUAAUUAAUUAAUUAGUUAAUUAGUUGGCCAACAAUAUGUAAAUUAGAAGAUAUGUAUUCCAACGCGUUGUAAACUUUAGUACUUAACAAGAAAGAGGGAAAUUAUGUAUCUAAUUAAUUAAGUAAUUAAUUGAAGAGGAGAAAAUAUACAUACGUACUUUUUAUUCCUCCAAAGUCGCAUGGAGAGGGGGGAAGGGGGAGGAAAGAAGGAACAUGUAAUUUAAGUAUUGGACUGAUUGAAAUGUGUGCUUAUUAGUAGGCGGAGGAGUAAUUAAUUGUAAUUAAUUUAGGGGACGAUGACUAUGUAAAAUGGAGGUCUCGGAGCGUAU
Long non-coding RNA from Folsomia candida, 2450 nucleotides. RefSeq lists it as uncharacterized. The transcript has 2 exons. Lineage: Eukaryota; Metazoa; Arthropoda; Collembola; Entomobryomorpha; Isotomidae. The record is from RefSeq and is a predicted model, not a curated record.